Molecule: ribosomal RNA, 353 nt
Filed under: uncultured bacterium
Lineage: Bacteria
Description: bacterial SSU rRNA
Rfam family: Bacterial small subunit ribosomal RNA
Source: RNAcentral
AGCGAACGCUGGCGGCAGGCUUAACACAUGCAAGUCGAACGAUCCUUCGGGAUAGUGGCGGACGGGUGAGUAACACGUGGGAACGUGCCUUUAGGUUCGGAAUAACACAGGGAAACUUGUGCUAAUACCGGAUAAGCCCUUCGGGGAAGGAUUUAUUCGCCUUUAGAGCGGCCCGCGUCUGAUUAGCUUGUUGGUGAGGUAAAGGACUCACCAAGGCUACGAUCAGUAGCUGGUCUGAGAGGANGGCCAGCCACAUUGGGACUGAGACACGGCCCAAACUCCUACGGGAGGCAGCAGUGGGGAAGUCUUGCGCAAUGGGCGAAAGCCUGACGCAGCCAUGCCGCGUGGAUGAU